AUGUCAAAAGUCCACAUAGACACAUUUACAAACAAUAAGCCAUUUCUUGCGUAUAUAUUCUAUAUAUUAUUUUGUUAAAAGCUGCUCGACCUUGGCUCACGUAAAUAUUUCGUCACAUGUAACAAUCCCUCGCCUCCAUAAUAUCAUUCCUCUUAGUGUGAGGUUUCCGGUUUGGUUGCACGCUUUUCUUGAUAUUGAGUUCCCCCUUUCGGUUAUAAACAUGAACAGCAACGUUUAACCGAGAGGUUCACCGGGGGACACGCACACCGUCUGCCCUACAUAAAAUGCACCCAUUGUAGGCCGAGGUGUCAGCUGAGGACGACUUGCAACCUAGAAACGUCGGUUUGGCCCCUCCUUCCCUUUGUCAGUCCUAUUGUAAACGUUAGUCCGGGGUCUUCUGAGGUAUUCUUAUUUCCAAAAACAGAUACUAAAAUUGGCAUUAACUGCAGAAGCGGCGUUUCAACCAUGCGAACGGAGUUUUCUUCUUUUCAACAAACCUUUUUGAGACCCCUCACGAUUUUAUCAAAGGCGUUGUCUCGGGGAACUGUGCCCAAUGACAUCAUCCCCGCCUUUUGUAUACAGUUGCUAGGGGUUACAGGGUGACAUUUCAAACAGUCCUGCUCUAGAUGUGUUCGGGAUACGCGAUUCAGUUUCUGUAUUAAUACAAAACGGACUACACACAAAGUUUAGUAUUUAUUUUGAACAGAUGUAAUGCACUUGAAAUCCUUUCUUAAAGAGCGAACGCUUACUAUGCUAUUUGAGUAAUAAUACUGCGAGAAAGUACACUUACCCUUUGUGUAUAUCUUUUUUUUCCUAGGCUAUACUACAACAGUAUAAACUUUAAAACUUUGUGAGAUGGCAGAUUCUGGUCUAUCAGAAAAGCACUUAUCACCGAGAGUGUGGAGACCAUUCGUACUACCUCAGUGUUCACGGACCCUUAUGAACGCUCUGUUAACUAUAUGGAGACUCACAGUAUUCUUCAGAUUUUUCAGGACAUCACAGAGAAAUUGGUUUUUAAUAGACCAGACGAUCCACUUCAGUUUAUGUUAGAACAGGUGCAAAUGAAGAUCAAAGUCCGUGAUGAGUCAAGCAACACAUUUGUGAAAUCAUGAUGAAUUCUAAAGCAAAGUAACAAGGGCUUUGCAACAAAUGGAAUCCAAGGUUAUUCUUUUAUUUAUACAAUUCUUUAAAUAAGGUAUUGGAUGCUGUCAUCCCGUGACUCUGCAUUGUUGUUUCCAAGCAACUGUCUUCAGAUGUUCUUUUUUUUUUUUUGUUCCAAAUUUACCAUGUUUUGCCACAAUUUUGAGACCGUAUUAGCAUUCAUUUUCAGUCAAACAGUGCUGAAAUAUUAAUAAUGUAGUUCGUGAGGGUCUUUGACCUAAAUAUCUCAAUGAACACACUUAAGUGGCAAGUUAGAGCUAUUAAAUGUGGCAAAAAAAAAAAAAUACAUUUAACAGAGGAAUUACUGACAGGCUUUCUCUGUAUUUUGGAGACACAGAAUCUGAGAAUUAUAAUUGUUACUGUUUUAUGAAUUAACUAUGUUUUAUAAGAUAACACAACUUCUGUAUAAGACAUGUAUGUAUAAUACAUUAUGCAAGUCUUCUCCAAAUAAAUAAAUCAAUAAAAUGCUAGCUAGACAAAUGUAGCUGGCUUUGGCGCUGUACUUGAAUUUCAAUGGUAGAUUUUGGCUAUGCGAGUAAAGGAAGUCUUUGUUUAUAGUAGGGUCUUAUUACAGUGUAUUUCUAUAGUUAUCUACUGUAUAUUUACUCUAGAUCAACAUCUGGUGUUUUAAGAACGGUAUAUCACAUGCAGUCAUUUCAUUUGUAAAUAAAAAUAAGUUCAAAAUAACUUCACAGUUACAUUGUCUAUUUGCAUUUAUUGCAUGUGUAUUUCUUUUAGCUUUGGGGUAAAAGUGUGUCAGUGGCUUAUCUAGUAAUAAUUGAGCAUUGCCUCCAACUAUGGGAAAUGCUAUAACUACAGCAAAUACUCUUAAAAUGUUGAAAUUUGUUUUUCACUAUAAAUAUUAUGAAUAUUAAAGUAUUUCCUAGCUAGUUUAUGUAAUUGUGAAUAUUGUUCUGCAACAUACCAUGAACGUGAUUCUUAUUCUCAUAGACAGUAUAUGCCCACUGUUAAAUUUCAAAUGUAAAUUGUUCUGUAUUCCCCAGUGACUCAACUUACCCUUGACAUGACACAGCUACAACAUGAGG
Long non-coding RNA from Cyprinus carpio (common carp), 2207 nucleotides. RefSeq lists it as uncharacterized. The record is from RefSeq and is a predicted model, not a curated record. The transcript has 3 exons. NCBI's taxonomy places the organism in Eukaryota, Metazoa, Chordata, Actinopteri, Cypriniformes, Cyprinidae.